GAUCGGAGUCUGCAACCCGACUCCGUGAAGCUGGAUUCGCUAGUAAUCGCGCAUCAGCCAUGGCGCGGUGAAUACGUUCCCGGGUCUUGUACACACCGCCCGUCACACCAUGGGAGUCGGAAAUGCCCGAAGUCAGUGACCUAACCGAAAGGGAGGAGCUGCCGAAGGUGGAGCCGGUAACUGGGGUGAAGUCGUAACAAGGUACC
RNAcentral lists this ribosomal RNA (206 nucleotides) under uncultured bacterium. RNAcentral's name for it is "partial 16S ribosomal RNA". It matches the Rfam family "Bacterial small subunit ribosomal RNA", at positions 1296 to 1500 of the family's 1533-position model. The record is from RNAcentral.